AUUGAACGCUGGCGGAAUGCUUUACACAUGCAAGUCGAACGGCAGCACGGACUUCGGUCUGGUGGCGAGUGGCGAACGGGUGAGUAAUGUAUCGGAACGUGCCCAGUCGUGGGGGAUAACGUAGUGAAAAUUACGCUAAUACCGCAUACGAUCUAUGGAUGAAAGCGGGGGAUCGCAAGACCUCGCGCGAUUGGAGCGGCAGAUAUCAGAUUAGGUAGUUGGUGGGGUAAAGGCCCACCAAGCCAACGAUCUGUAGCUGGUCUGAGAGGACGACCUGCCACACUGGAACUGAGACACGGUCCAGACUCCUACGGGAGGCAGCAGUGGGGAAUUUUGGACAAUGGGCGAAAGCCUGAUCCAGCCAUUCCGCGUGCAGGAUGAAGGCCCUCGGGUUGUAAACUGCUUUUGUACAGAACGAAAAGGUCUCUACUAAUACUAGGAGCUCAUGACGGUACUGUAAGAAUAAGCACCGGCUAACUACGUGCCAGCCGCCGCCGUAA
RNAcentral lists this ribosomal RNA (500 nucleotides) under uncultured bacterium. RNAcentral describes it as "partial 16S ribosomal RNA". It matches the Rfam family "Bacterial small subunit ribosomal RNA", at positions 30 to 523 of the family's 1533-position model. The record is from RNAcentral.